RNAcentral lists this ribosomal RNA (345 nucleotides) under uncultured bacterium. Its description in RNAcentral is "bacterial SSU rRNA". It matches the Rfam family "Bacterial small subunit ribosomal RNA", at positions 150 to 492 of the family's 1533-position model. The record is from RNAcentral.
CCUUAGAAUGAAGUUAAUACUCCAUAGUAUUAUUGAUUGGCAUCAAUUAAUAAUUAAAGCUUCGGUGGUNAAAGAUGAGUAUGCGUUCUAUUAGCUAGAUGGUGUGGUAACGGCACACCAUGGCUACGAUAGAUAGGGGCCCUGAGAGGGGGAUCCCCNNCACUGGUACUGAGACACGGACCAGACUCCUACGGGAGGCAGCAGUGAGGAAUAUUGGACAAUGGAGGCAACUCUGAUCCAGCCAUGCCGCGUGCAGGAAGACUGCCCUAUGGGUUGUAAACUGCUUUUAUACAGGAAGAAAUCCGCUCUACGUGUAGAGCUCUGACGGUACUGUAAGAAUAAGGA